AUAGGUUGAUAUAUAUAUAUAUAUACACACACACAUUAAUAUGUUAUUGUAUAUAUAUACAUUAACAUGCUUUGAUUUAUGUUUUGUUGUCCUUGGUUUAAUAUGAGAUUUGAUGCAUGCUUAGAAAUAUGAGCUGAUUUGUUUGAUUUUGAUUUGUUGUGUCUCACCAUGUUUUGAAUGAAGAGUUGAAUUAAUAUAUUAGAGGCAUGCUGGGUUUUGUUUGAUUGUCGUUUUGUUGCUGCUUUAACACUGUGUUUCUGGGCGUGUAUGUGCCAUGAAUGCAAUGUGAUGGAAUGCUAUGUUGUGUGUUAGAUGCAUGUUAGGAUAGGCUUAGUGUGUGUAUACAACAAUCCAUUAAAAAGUCCUUUAAUGGGAUUAGAAUUUGGAACACAAUAAGUGGAGGCCGAUUUAUGAGUCAAGUCGGGUUGGGUGCCUAACACCUUCACAUCCCUGUACCUAAACUCUAAACAUGUGCUCUAAUAAAAAUCAGUCAUUCUCAUAGGCAAUAUAUAUAUGGUUCCUAGACUUAAUCUAUGUGAUGACUCCAUUUACACCUUCUGUCUGGUCCACUCUAGGCUGAGGCGUACUUCCCACAAGAAAAUCACUUAUUGCGGGUGCUUGCACCCACAACUCUCUUAUCCCAAAUCAGCAAGACUCACUAGUGUGAACUGCAUCCAAAACAGCGCAGUCUAAGAAAGGGCUGCCCCACAGACUCUGAACAAUAGAUGAAUUUAAAGCAGAAGUUUCCUGAAAACAUACAAUAUCACACUUCCAUUCCAUUCCUUAAGAAGAUUCUUACAUACCUCAUGCUUCCAGAGACUGUUUAACCCCCUAACAUUCCAAAGAUAGAAGUUUUAAAUUCAUUUACAACAACUAAUUGCCCCCAAACAAGUUGAGAAAACUUUGUUCCUACUUCUAGAAGAUAACCCAUCAUAGUUAACUGUAGAGACCAGGCGUUAAAUGGUCGCAUAGAAACCCCAUCGUGAUGAUCAUCCAUACAAUCUUGUUCCAGUAAACGAAAUAGUGCCACACAUUGAUCCUCAUCUUUCACAAUAGGAAAACCCAACUUUUCAUCAUCUCAGUCACCCAUUUUGAAUCUUCCACCUCUUUCAUCACAAAAUACCCACAGCAAACUCCUGAUCCAGCAUGACCUCCCUAGUUUCAAUGGGAUCCCACUGGGACAGAGGUGGACACUCUAGAAGACACUGAUUUUUCUCCCCACCCAAGCAACCAUUUUUUUCAAACCCACUGUAAUCCCAUGGAAGAAGAAGCUCGCUACUGCACCCCGUCAGAAUUGGCGACACCACAUCUACCUCUUGGGCACAACCCUAUUCUUUGUACACACUUGCCUCCUCCAUUAAAUCUUCCUCUCCCCCAGACCAUACACCCAUCGCACCACCCAGAUUAAAUAGAGAAGAGAAUCAAUUAUUACCCACCCACUGAUGGUCAUGAAACACAAACAUGAUCGGUGACUCCUUCAUUGUCGGAACCAUCUUACUGUUGAAACCAGAGCACUGGGACACCGUCCUUGCUCUCACCUCAAGCUACUCAGAGUUAUUAUUUCUAUCAAAAUGGGCUUUUUCCAACACUAGGUACUUGGUUGGCUUUGAUAGGCCCAGUUGUCCUAAUAGGUUUCUCAGGCCUAAAAUUCCUUUAACUUCCGCUAGUGUCACAAGGUCAAUUUUUCACUCAAAUUUUCUGCCUGUGAUGGCCCUAAGUCCCUAACUUAGUCUCAGCCAACACCACACACACACACUGUAAUAACACUUAGAACAAAUUAUCUAGGGACGUUUAAACACACAGCACACACAAUAUUUACAGGGAACCCACCCCCAACCUUUAUUACUUAAUUUCAAGUACAAAGGAAACCCUUUUAUAAGCCUAGAGAAUUACACAGAAUUUUUCCAAUGCCAAAUACACUCUGUUGCUAACACCCCCAGCAGCCUUAGGGUUAAAUAUACAGAAUUAACUGCUAUGGCAGUUACUGCUUAGUAACUACCAAGGUCUUGGACAAUCUGCCACUUGUGGUCUAACUUAAAAUACCUUCAACUGAUGCUGUCUUGGCUUACUCUCCACGUUUCCAGCCCCUACACAGCAAGUCUGAUCAUUAGGAAAGCCAGGAACUACUUGGUAACUACUUAGUAACCGCCACUGCACAUGCACAGCCCAUGUCUUAGCAGACCAUGGGGCCUCUGCCCAUCCUCCAGUAGUCCACACAACUAGUUCCCACACGUUUUAGAGAGGCUUGGCCCAUGCUCAAGGUCUCCCAUCAGCACUACAACCCACAUAGCAUGCCCAUAUGCAGCACACCAAAUAACUGCCAUCAACCCACUAGCACUUGUCCAUGCAUUCAACCAGCCCACACUAGCCCAAUGCCUUGCACACAGCAUUUAAUCAUCACAGCAGCCCAGCCCUGCCUUGCACUCCAACCACCAAGCCCACACACAAGGAACCAACAACUAAGCCACCAAUGCCAUGCACCACCAUGUAGGGUCAGCACCACCUGCUGCUGCCCAUCAUCACAACCAUCUCUGUCUACCAUGGCCUUGGGGCAUCAUGUGGAGCAAGGUGCCUCCACAUGCUGCCCCUCAUCACAGUUCAUCGAUCCAACACGAGUAGGGAGACUGGGCUGGUCCUCCUCAAAGAGCCCUUAGAAGCAUCACUAGUUAGGCAUGAGGAGCCAUGAGUGUGUUGAGAAAACAUAAAGUCAAGUGAUUGACUCAAUGUUGCCCAAGCACCGUCAUUCCUCAUGCCAUCAGCAGCAACCCAUAAUGCUCCUAACAGCUAGUUACCAUUAAUUAUCAACUACCCCUUCUGACCACCAAACCAACCACCAGUGGUAUCAAGAAUCACCUUGUAAUGACUUUUCCCCGAUAAGAAAAGUCCCAACCCUUUCUGAAAAGAAGACCACCCAGAUCUCUAUACAUUGUAGCUUGACGGUAUCAUAACACAACCCCGACAAGCUCCGCCGUAAUAUACUGCUAUGUCCAUAAAGAGACCAACUUUAUUCAAUCUACCACAAAAUUCCAACCACUUGUUGUUUUCUCUAAAUUGCUUACAAAGGAAAUCCUUCCGCACGUAUAUCAACAAAGCAAGAAAUAAUCCAUUCCAUGGCUUUACGUCCUACCCAAAUGGAAAUUUUUCCAUUUCAACGGCUUUCAUGGAUAGCAGACCACCCGCCCACCAUCAAAAGAGAGAAAUGUUUUGCAUCAAUACGUAAAAAGCCCUUACUGCCCCCCUUGGCUAAAAGGAAAAGGUUUAGAUGGUAUAUUUUGUGGGGUUGGUUUAGUGGAAAAAACCGUGUUUUUAGGUAAUGGAAUAAGUGUUUGUGGAGGUUUUGACUAAGGCAACUGAGGUGCUGGAGAAGGGAUAGGUGCUGUUGGUGUAAACGUGGAGGGACAUGGAUUUGUGUAAGCGAUAAAGCCAAAAGGUGAUGGAUACUGAGCUGGGAAAAAGAAGGGAACAGGGGGAAGUGACUGGAUAUGUGAAGAUGGUAGGAAAGAUUAAAACUAUAUGCAUGUGUUUUGUAAAGAUUAUAUAUUUUUCAAUGAUAUUAUUUUUUAUUGUUGUCCAAAAGCUUAAGCUAUGGUAAAUUUAAUCAUUUAACUCAAGAUCUCAUACCCUGAUACAUGUAAAACUACCGAUUGUCCCAAAAGCUUAAACCAUUAGGAUAUGAUAAAUUUAAUCAUUUAACCAAUACUUCUAACACUUCCCCUCACAUAUGAGCCGAAGCUACCUUUUAAUAGGUGAGGCUCAACACGUGAAAAUUUAAAUAAGAGGUAGAAUGGAGUAAACAAGAAUCAAACUCAGAAUCUCAUGCUCUGAUAUCAUGUUAAAAUACAGAUUGUCCCAAAAACUUAAGCUAUUGGAAUAUAGUAAAUUUAAUCAUUUAACCACAUAUUUCUAAUAGAUUUUAUAAGAAAGGCUUAACGGUUUGAUUUUUUAUUUGUAGAUAUUUAAUUACGCUCUAUUUAAUUCUUUAAUAUUGAUAUUUAGAAGACAAGCCAUGUAUCUAAAUCCAAGUUUUGGGUUUGGGUCGUGACAUCUUGUGCUACCAAAACAACCGGCCAAAGAACCAUUAACCAAAACUGAAAACUAAACUAUAGAAAUACAGCUACUAAUGCACUGCUUAUCUAAGACCAAAUCCCAUCCUCCCUAAAGAGCAUCCCAAUUCACACGAUUAUAAGCUUUUUCAAUAUCUAGCUUGCAGAUAACACCCGGAAUUUUACUUUGAAGUCUACUAUCAACACACUUAUUGGCAAUUAAAACCAAAUCUAAUAUUUGAUGAUCACCUACAAAGGCAUUUUAAGACUCCAAAAUCAGUCCAUCCAGCACCCCUCUCAAGCAACAUUUGAUAAAAUCUUGUAAGCACUACCCACUAGGCUGAUAGGCCAAUAGUCCUAAAUGUUAUAUGCAUUAUUAUACUUCUUAGGGAUGAGAGCUAUAAAUGACACUUCAAUGACUUCUCAAACUUCCCAAAUUGAGAAUUCCUCAAAAAACGCAAGAACAUCACUGUCCACUACCCCCCAACAAUGAUGAUAGAAACCAUAGUAAAGCCGUUCAAACUGGGGGAUUUAUCCCCCUCCAUAUCAAGCACAACCUGUAAAAUCUCCUCCCUCUCAAAUUUCCGCUCAAGCAACCCACUCUCAUCUACUCCAAUGUGAUCAAAAUCUUUUUUUUUUUUUUUUUUUUUUGGAUAAAUAAUGAAAUUUCAUUAAUCAAAAGCCCCAGGUACAUUGGGAGCGUACACGGAAAGGGUUACAUCAAGAUCGAAAAUUACAACGAUUAAGCAUAACAAAAAGAUUAGAGCAAGAAAAAGAAGAGAAAAAAGAGACCAAGCAAACAAAGAGUGAAGGAAAAGAGAUUUAAUCUCAAGAAUCAACCAUUCCGUUCCCUCAAAGUAUCUACUGUUCCUUUCCCGCCAAAGAGACCAUAACACACAAUGUGGGACAGCCCACCAUAGGUCUAUAUUGCGCUGUUCACCGAACAGACCCGGCCAAGAUGCAAAUAAAUCUACAACACUUUGAGGCAUCAC
Quercus lobata is the source of this 5035-nucleotide long non-coding RNA. RefSeq lists it as uncharacterized. The transcript has 2 exons. NCBI's taxonomy places the organism in Eukaryota, Viridiplantae, Streptophyta, Magnoliopsida, Fagales, Fagaceae. The record is from RefSeq and is a predicted model, not a curated record.